CCUACGGGUGGCUGCAGUCGAGAAUCAUUCACAAUGGGGGAAACCCUGAUGGUGCGACGCCGCGUGGGGGAAUGAAGGUCUUCGGAUUGUAAACCCCUGUCAUGUGGGAGCAAAUGAAAAAGAUAGUACCACAAGAGCAGGAGACGUCUAACUCUGUACCAGCAGCCGCGGUAAUACGGAGGUCUCAAGCGUUGUUCGGAAUCACUGGGCGUAAAGCGUGCGUAGGCUGUUUCGUAAGUCGUAUGUGAAAGGCGCGGGCUCAACCCGCGGACGGCACAUGAUACUGCGAGACUAGAGUGAAGGAGGGGGAAGCGGAAUUCUCGGUGUAGCAGUGAAAUGCGUAGAUAUCGAGAGGAACACUAGUGGCGAAGGCGGGUUCCUGGACAUUAACUGACGCUGAGGCACGAAGGCCAGGGGAGCGAAAGGGAUUAGAUACCCGUGUAGUC
This 446-nucleotide ribosomal RNA is filed under the name uncultured bacterium. RNAcentral describes it as "partial 16S ribosomal RNA". It matches the Rfam family "Bacterial small subunit ribosomal RNA", at positions 338 to 795 of the family's 1533-position model. The record is from RNAcentral.